GACGAACGCUGGCGGCGUGCCUAAUACAUGCAAGUAGAACGCACAGUUUAUACCGUAGCUUGCUACACCAUAAACUGUGAGUUGCGAACGGGUGAGUAACGCGUAGGUAACCUGCCUGGUAGCGGGGGAUAACUAUUGGAAACGAUAGCUAAUACCGCAUAAUAUUGAUUAUUGCAUGAUAAUUGAUUGAAAGAUGCUAUUGCAUCAUUACCAGAUGGACCUGCGUUGUAUUAGCUAGUAGGUGAGGUAACGGCUCACCUAGGCGACGAUACAUAGCCGACCUGAUAGGGUGGUCGGCCACACUGGGACUGAGACAGGGCCCAGAGUCCUACGGGAGGCAGCAGUAGGGAUACUUGGGCAAGAGACGAGAGUCUGACCGAACAACGCCGCGGGAGUGAAGAGGGUUUUCGGAUCGUAAAUCUCGGUUGUAAGGGAAGAACGGGUGUGAGAGUGGAAAGUUCACUCUGUGACGGUAUCUUACCAGAAAGGGACGGCUAACUACGUG
RNAcentral lists this ribosomal RNA (505 nucleotides) under uncultured bacterium. Its description in RNAcentral is "partial 16S ribosomal RNA". It matches the Rfam family "Bacterial small subunit ribosomal RNA", at positions 28 to 507 of the family's 1533-position model. The record is from RNAcentral.